Molecule: ribosomal RNA, 502 nt
Filed under: uncultured bacterium
Lineage: Bacteria
Description: partial 16S ribosomal RNA
Rfam family: Bacterial small subunit ribosomal RNA
Source: RNAcentral
GACGAACGCUGGCGGCGUGCUUAACACAUGCAAGUCGAACGGUGAAGGGGUCUGCUUUUGUGGGCCCUGGAUGAGUGGCGAACGGGUGAGUAACACGUGAGUAACCUGCCCCCUUCUUCUGGAUAACCGCAUGAAAGUGUGGCUAAUACGGGAUAUUCUGGGUCUGUCGCAUGAUGGGUCUGGGAAAGAUUGCGCCUUUGGGUGUUUUUGGUGGGGGAUGGGCUCGCGGCCUAUCAGCUUGUUGGUGGGGUGAUGGCCUACCAAGGCGGUGACGGGUAGCCGGGCUGGGAGGGUGGACGGUCACACUGGGACUGAGACACGGCCCAGACUCCCACGGGAGGCAGCAGUGGGGAAUAUUGCACAAUGGGCGCAAGCCUGAUGCAGCGACGCCGCGUGAGGGAUGGAGGCCUUCGGGUUGUAAACCUCUUUCGCCAGUGAAGCAGGCCUGCUCCUUGUGGUUGGGUUGACGGUAGCUGGAUAAGAAGCGCCGGCUAACUACGUG